GCGACGCCAACGGUAUGCUCACGUGAAUUUUAUUUUCCAAGUGACGUCAUAAUGGCUGCCAAGUGAUGGCUAAAGCUGUGUUUAGUUUUGUGCAGUUUACAAGAUGGUGGGUAGUCUAUAGCUCUAAGAAGCAAACUCAAACUUGAAGCAAAAAGGUAUAGAAUCAAUUGGUUAGUUUUCAGUCUGAAAUGUAAGUAUAUUUUGCUUGUUAUUGUCGCUGUUUGGAAAAUGGUGUACACUAUCUAGGUAUAUAAUAGUACUGGGACUGGCCAGAACAGCUCAGAAUUAGAUUCCACACUCAGGAUCAUCAAUCAAGUCAUUUUACCUCAAUAGAAUUGUUUGAAAUCCUUUUAGAGCUAGAUUUUAUACUUGUCAUUAUAGUCAUAUUAUGUGCCAUUGACUUUCAGAGACCACAGCAUCCUUAUUUCUUGCUGGAACAACUUUAAACUUCUGGAGUAUAUUCUUCUAGCUACUAUCUUGUUGUAAGCAAAUGGACAAGAAGCUGGAGUUGUCUAGAACAAUGUACGCAUCCGUUAAAUUGAAGGACAUCAGUUGCUUGCAGUUCUGUUAUAGUUUAUUUAAACUGGUUGAUAUUUUUUAUGAUGAUAAAUAUGUAUGUUCUGUGUAUUGUAUGCAAAUUUCAUAGUAAAACUAUUAAAUGAAAAAUAAA
Long non-coding RNA from Amphimedon queenslandica, 670 nucleotides. RefSeq lists it as uncharacterized. The record is from RefSeq and is a predicted model, not a curated record. Lineage: Eukaryota; Metazoa; Porifera; Demospongiae; Haplosclerida; Niphatidae. The transcript is spliced from 2 exons.